This 500-nucleotide ribosomal RNA is filed under the name uncultured bacterium. RNAcentral's name for it is "partial 16S ribosomal RNA". It matches the Rfam family "Bacterial small subunit ribosomal RNA", at positions 28 to 523 of the family's 1533-position model. The record is from RNAcentral.
GAUUAACGCUAGCGGCAGGCCUAAUACAUGCAAGUCGAACGGGAUUUCGGGUAGCAAUAUCUGAAUGAGAGUGGCGCACGGGUGCGUAACACGUAUGCAAUCUGCCUCUGACUGGGGAAUAGCCUUCCGAAAGGAAGAUUAACACCGCAUAAAAUAAUGAAGUGGCAUCACUUUAUUAUCAAAACUACGGUGGUCAGAGAUGAGCAUGCGCCCGAUUAGCUAGUUGGUGAGGUAACGGCUCACCAAGGCGACGAUCGGUAGGGGGUCUGAGAGGAUGAUCCCCCACACUGGUACUGAGACACGGACCAGACUCCUACGGGAGGCAGCAGUAAGGAAUAUUGGACAAUGGUCGCAAGACUGAUCCAGCCAUGCCGCGUGAAGGAUGAAUGCCCUAUGGGUUGUAAACUUCUUUUAAACGGGAAAAAACCCCUCUACGUGUAGAGGGCUGAUGGUACCGUAAGAAUAAGGAUCGGCUAACUUCGUGCCAGCCGCCGCAGUAA